RNAcentral lists this ribosomal RNA (496 nucleotides) under uncultured bacterium. RNAcentral describes it as "partial 16S ribosomal RNA". It matches the Rfam family "Bacterial small subunit ribosomal RNA", at positions 28 to 506 of the family's 1533-position model. The record is from RNAcentral.
GAUGAACGCUGGCGGCGUGCCUAAUACAUGCAAGUCGAGCGAACGGACGAGAAGCUUGCUUCUCUGAUGUUAGCGGCGGACGGGUGAGUAACACGUGGAUAACCUACCUAUAAGACUGGGAUAACUUCGGGAAACCGGAGCUAAUACCGGAUAAUAUUUUGAACCGCAUGGUUCAAAAGUGAAAGACGGUCUUGCUGUCACUUUUAGAUGGAUCCGCGCUGCAUUAGCUAGUUGGUAAGGUAACGGCUUACCAAGGGAACGAUGCAUAGCCGACCUGAGAGGGUGAUAGGCCACACUGGAACGGAGCCACGUUCAAGACUCCUACGGGAGGCAGCAGUAGGGAAUCUUGCGCAAUGGGCGAAAGCCUGACGAGGCAACGCCGCGGGAGUGAUGAAGGUCUUCGGAUCGUAAAACUCUGUUAUGAGGGAAGAACAUAUGUGUAAGUAACUGUGCACAUCUUGACGGUACCUAAUCAGAAGGCCACGCCUAACUACGU